UGUUUAACAAAAACAUGGCUUAAUUGUAUAAGUUUAUUAAGUCAGGCCUGCUCAAUGAUUAUAAUUAAUUAAAUAGCCGCAGUAUUUUGACUGUGCGAAGGUAGCAUAAUCAUUUGUCUUUUAAUUGUGGGCUUGUAUGAAUGGUUUGAUGAGAUAUUAACUUUCUUUAUUCAAUAUUUACGAAAUUAAUACUUGAGUUAAAAAGCUUAAAUGUUUUCGUGGGACGAGAAGACCCUAUAGAGUUUUAUAAUUAUAAUUAUUAAAUUAUUCAUUGGUAAGUUUCAUUAAUUCAAUAGUUUAAUUAUUUUGUUGGGGUGACGGGAAAAUUUUAUUAACUUUUCUUUAUUUUAUAUUAAUAAUUAUUAUGUUUAGAAUGAUCCUUUAUUAAGGAUAAUAAGAUUAAAUUACCUUAGGGAUAACAGCGUAAUUCU
Molecule: ribosomal RNA, 431 nt
Filed under: Microporus nigrita
Lineage: Eukaryota; Metazoa; Arthropoda; Insecta; Hemiptera; Cydnidae
Description: partial 16S ribosomal RNA
Rfam family: Archaeal large subunit ribosomal RNA (bases 1-153)
Source: RNAcentral